ACUGAACUGAACUGAACUGAACUGAAUCACUGAACUAGGGCAUUGAGAUGAGAGGAAAUGGAGAGAUCCUUUUGGAGCUUACUUAAUUUUUUCUGAUUUUAUUCAACUAAGGCAGCCCCUCCAACUAAAAUUUUCUUUCCUCAUCUUAGACAUUCAAACUCACUCACCUCAUCCAGCUGAUGGAGUCAACAAUCCUAUUUCCAGUAUGAAACUAGGACACUACAAUAGCUUAACUGAUCUCUGCCUCUAGUUUGUCUCCCUGGCUGCAGCAAGAGGAAUCUUUUUGUUUUAACCCCAGUCUUUGUGUCUACAUUAACUGUCAGUGGCUCCUCAUUCCCUGGGUCAGUAGUUCUCAAACAUAUACAGGAAUUUAUUGUGGUAAUGGUUGCGCAACUCUAUGAACAUACUUGAAACCACUGAACUGUAUACUUUAAAUAGGCGANNNNNNNNNNNNNNNNNNNNUUAAAUAUAGAUCAAAGUUGUUACUUUAAAAAAUGCAUUAAGAAAAUAAAAUCCUCUGGAAGUCAUGGCAUGCUGUGUGGAACAUCCUGAAAUGUUGAACCAAAAGCAGUUUUGCUAGCAGAAAAUAACAGUAUAGUAGAUAUUAGAUAUAAAAUUAAAACUCACCACUUUACAACUUUAUCUACAAAAAAGCAAGUGGUUGAGCUAAGAUUAUCACGUUUCUAAUGUUUGCCUCUAAUAAUAAAUUUUUAUUUCUUAAAUUAUUUUAUUGCCUCCCCCUAUUUGCCAGUAAAGCAGCAUUAACAUCAAAGGCAAGGAAAAUCUGAAAGGGAAACUUCAAAAUUGAGUAUAUCCUAUACAGUACUUCAGUUUAUAUGUCUACUUAUUUGCUUUCAAAUUAAAACAUUAGGAAAGUCUCCAUACUUGUAUUACACUAAGGUUUUCUGGAGGAGAUUGGACAAUCCUUGGCUUUCUGGAAAAUGCCUAUUUUUCUUUUUAUCUUUAAUAGGCUUUUUUUUUCAAGAAUUAUUUACUUAUUUGGGUGCUCCAGGUCUUAGUUGUGGCAUGUGGAGUCUAGUUCCCAUCCAGGGAUCUAACCUGGGCCCCCUGCAUUGGGCACACAGAGUCUCAGCCACUGAACUAUCAGGGAAAUCUCUAAAAUGACUAUUUGUUUUGACAUACAAAAUCUGGGAAGCCUGAUGGCUCAGUNNNNNNNNNNNNNNNNNNNNNNNNNNNNNNNNNNNNNNNNNNNNNUGGGUUGAGAAGAUCCCCUGGAGGAGGAAAUGGAAACCCACUCCAGUAUUUAUGCCUGAAAAAUUCCAUAGACAGAGAGGAGUCUGGUGGGCUGCAAUCCAAAGGGUCACAGACUGGGACACGACUGAGUGACUAAGCAUACACACACACAUACACACACCAUAAAAGAUCUUUUUCAAGUUGACCUUAAAUUCCCUUUCCAUCCUCACCUUAUUCCACACCACCUCAGGCUGCCACACCGCAGAUGCCACAUACCCCGCACAGUCAUNUUCCAUCCUCACCUUAUUCCGCACCACCUCAGGCUGCCACACCGCAGAUGCCACAUACCCCGCACAGUCAUGAACAGCUAAGGGUCCUCCAAAUACAUCCCUAAGCUUUGCCUUCAUGAAGGCAUCAACCUCUGAGCUGUCCUCUGAAACACACAAUAUCUCCAGAAAAAGAGCAAAAGGGAUUCUAAGCUGAAAGAAUUCAGCACCAGGACAGAAAUUUUGAGGGUAAGAGUAUUCGCACUCUGGUAGUUUGGCGAGGCCUCAGUGUGGGGUGCGUGGAAGGGAGAGGCUGGGAGGAGAUUGGCCCGAGCAGUCCUCCUAGUCUGUGCUUUACGACAUGAGCAAAACAGUGACUCCAGCAGGUCUGUGCUUCGCUCUCAAAACCCUCUUCUGCCCCACAUUCUUCCCAAAUACAUGUUAGCCACGUUGGAAAGUUGAUCAGAGUCAGAGGUGUGAUAGUGGACAGAAGGACCUGAUGGAUCCUCCUAAGAAUGAACCUAGGACUGUGUUCUAACCAUUGAGCAAUCAGUCAAUGCUGUGCUAUGAAAUCACACGUGGCAGCCAGUCAAGAAUGUGGUAGAACCAACACAGCUGGUUUCUGUGGAAAG
RNAcentral lists this long non-coding RNA (2092 nucleotides) under Capra hircus (goat). Its description in RNAcentral is "lncRNA (ENSCHIG00010001846.1)". The record is from RNAcentral. Lineage: Eukaryota; Metazoa; Chordata; Mammalia; Artiodactyla; Bovidae.